Molecule: ribosomal RNA, 253 nt
Filed under: uncultured bacterium
Lineage: Bacteria
Description: partial 16S ribosomal RNA
Rfam family: Bacterial small subunit ribosomal RNA
Source: RNAcentral
UACGUAGGGUGCAAGCGUUGUCCGGAAUUAUUGGGCGUAAAGAGCUCGUAGGCGGCUUGUCGCGUCGGCUGUGAAAACCUGGGGCUCAACCCCGGGCCUGCAGCCGAUACGGGCAAGCUAGAAUUCGGUAGGGGAGACUGGAAUUCCUGGUGUAGUGGUGAAAUGCGCAGAUAUCAGGAGGAACACCGGUGGCGAAGGCGGGUCUCUGGGCCGAUAUUGACGCUGAGGAGCGAAAGCGUGGGGAGCGAACAGG